AGCUGAUGCAGCACGCCGCGUGCGGGUUGACGGCCUUCGGGUUGUGAACCUCUUUCCCCUGUGACGAAGCGUGAGUGACGGUAAUGGGUAAAGAUCGCCUAACUCUGUCCUGCCAGCCGCCGUAAUA
Molecule: ribosomal RNA, 127 nt
Filed under: uncultured bacterium
Lineage: Bacteria
Description: partial 16S ribosomal RNA
Source: RNAcentral